Molecule: ribosomal RNA, 76 nt
Filed under: Enterococcus hirae
Lineage: Bacteria; Bacillati; Bacillota; Bacilli; Lactobacillales; Enterococcaceae
Also listed under: 1 other name
Description: partial 16S ribosomal RNA
Rfam family: Bacterial small subunit ribosomal RNA (bases 1-68)
Source: RNAcentral
GAUAGAUGAUUGGGGUGAAGUCGUAACAAGGUAGCCGUAUCGGAAGGUGCGGCUGGAUCACCUCCUUUCUAAGGAA